GAUGAACGCUAGCGGCAGGCUUAACACAUGCAAGUCGAGGGGUAACAGGGAAGAGCUUGCUUUUCCGCUGACGACCGGCGCACGGGUGAGUAACGCGUAUAGAACCUACCUUUUACAGGGGAAUAGCCCAGAGAAAUUUGGAUUAAUGCCCUAUAGUAUUAUUGAAUGGCAUCAUUUAGUAAUUAAACAUUUAUGGGUAAAAGAUGGCUAUGCGUUCUAUUAGCUAGAUGGUAAGGUAACGGCUUACCAUGGCAACGAUAGAUAGGGGUCCUGAGAGGGAGAUCCCCCACACUGGUACUGAGACACGGACCAGACUCCUACGGGAGGCAGCAGUGAGGAAUAUUGGACAAUGGAGGCAACUCUGAUCCAGCCAUGCCGCGUGCAGGAAGACGGCCCUAUGGGUUGUAAACUGCUUUUAUACGGGAAGAAACCCAACUACGUGUAGUUGGCUGACGGUACCGUAAGAAUAAGCACCGGCUAACUCCGUGCCAGCAGCCGCGGUAAUACGGAGGGUGCAAGCGUUAUCCGGAAUCAUUGGGUUUAAAGGGUCCGUAGGCGGGCUAAUAAGUCAGGGGUGAAAUCCAACAGCUUAACUGUUGAACUGCCUUUGAUACUGUUAGUCUUGAAUUAUAUGGAAGUAGAUAGAAUGUGUAGUGUAGCGGUGAAAUGCUUAGAGAUUACACAGAAUACCGAUUGCGAAGGCAGUCUACUACGUAUAUAUGAC
This 724-nucleotide ribosomal RNA is filed under the name Lutibacter sp. RNAcentral describes it as "bacterial SSU rRNA". It matches the Rfam family "Bacterial small subunit ribosomal RNA", at positions 28 to 744 of the family's 1533-position model. The record is from RNAcentral. Lineage: Bacteria; Pseudomonadati; Bacteroidota; Flavobacteriia; Flavobacteriales; Flavobacteriaceae.